AGUGAACGCUGGCGGUAGGCCUAACACAUGCAAGUCGAACGGCAGCACAGUAAGAGCUUGCUCUUACGGGUGGCGAGUGGCGGACGGGUGAGGAAUACAUCGGAAUCUACUUUUUCGUGGGGGAUAACGUAGGGAAACUUACGCUAAUACCGCAUACGACCUACGGGUGAAAGCAGGGGAUCUUCGGACCUUGCGCGAUUGAAUGAGCCGAUGUCGGAUUAGCUAGUUGGCGGGGUAAAGGCCCACCAAGGCGACGAUCCGUAGCUGGUCUGAGAGGAUGAUCAGCAACACUGGAACUGAGACACGGUCCAGACUCAUACGGGAGGCAGCAGUGGGGAAUAUGGGACAAUGGGCGAAAGCCUGAUCCAGCCAUAGCGAGUGGGUGAAGAAGGCCUUAGGGUUGUAAAGCCCUUUUGUUGGGAAAGAAAAGCAGCAGGUUAAUACCACGCUGUUAUGACGGUACCAAAAGAAUAAGCACCGGCUAACUUCGUG
This 492-nucleotide ribosomal RNA is filed under the name uncultured bacterium. RNAcentral describes it as "partial 16S ribosomal RNA". It matches the Rfam family "Bacterial small subunit ribosomal RNA", at positions 29 to 507 of the family's 1533-position model. The record is from RNAcentral.